This 448-nucleotide ribosomal RNA is filed under the name Catonella morbi. RNAcentral's name for it is "bacterial SSU rRNA". It matches the Rfam family "Bacterial small subunit ribosomal RNA", at positions 28 to 456 of the family's 1533-position model. The record is from RNAcentral. Lineage: Bacteria; Bacillati; Bacillota; Clostridia; Lachnospirales; Lachnospiraceae.
GAUGAACGCUGGCGGCGUGCCUAACACAUGCAAGUCGAACGGAGAUUACGGACGGAAGUUUUCGGAUGGAAGUUUGUAAUUCUUAGUGGCGGACGGGUGAGUAACGCGUGGGCAACCUGCCCUAUACAGGGGGAUAGCAGCUGGAAACGGCUGGUAAGACCGCAUAAGUCGGUUAAAUCGCAUGAUUUGAUCGGGAAAUGAGCAAUCAGGUAUAGGAUGGGCCCGCGACCGAUUAGCCAGUUGGCAGGGUAAAAGCCUACCAAAGCGACGAUCGGUGGCCGGACUGAGAGGUCGGACGGCCACAUUGGGACUGAGACACGGCCCAAACUCCUACAGGAGGCAGCAGUGGGGGAUAUUGCACAAUGGAGGAAACUCUGAUGCAGCGACGCCGCGUGAGUGAGGAAGUAUUUCGGUAUGUAAAGCUCUAUCAGCAGGGAAGAUGAUGACG